RNAcentral lists this long non-coding RNA (978 nucleotides) under Homo sapiens (human). Its description in RNAcentral is "non-protein coding lnc-MCL1-7:2". The record is from RNAcentral. Lineage: Eukaryota; Metazoa; Chordata; Mammalia; Primates; Hominidae.
CUCACCUGGCUCCAAGGAGAGCCAACUUCCCAAUGGCCACAGAGGCGCAGCUGGCAAGACUGGGUGAUGUUGGGCCGGGGGAGAUGUCCACAGCGCUCCGGGGGCACCGAGGAGCCACCCCCCCCAAAUUCCUGCCGGCACUGCAGCUGGCGGUGCUGGGUGCCGGGGCCACAGGAGCGGCUGCAGGAUGUCCACUCGCCAGCCUCCCAGCUGCAGGCACCAGCAGGGCAGGGAAGAGGCGGAGACAUAGAUGAGAUGUGUGGGGCUGCCGUGGCAGCAGAGAUGGAAGACACACUGGACGUGGGGGCCUCAGAGCCAGGAGAUGUUGCGUUGAGUGCAGAGUUCAGGACCCAGGGGGAUCCACAGCCCAGUUCCCAUUGAUGAUGGACCGGCCCCCAGGGCCACGAAGUGCUGCGGGUCAGAGACUCCACAGCCAUCAGGACGCCUGCCAGAGCCAAGGAUCCCAUCACAGCCGGGGCUCUGGAGAGAGUGAGUGAGAGCACAAAAACAGCCCCACCAUCCCCAGCCAGACCCAGGGACAUGGACAGGUGCCCGAUCAGAUCCUUCAGGCUCUGCUCAGCGCAGCUUGGCAGCCACCUGACCCCCAGUGAUGGCCUUCCCAGGGGAGUCCGGACAAAGCGUGUCUCCCACACCUCCUCCUCCCACCCCGACCCUUCUGCAGACCACUCACCACCUGUGCUGUCUCCUGACCCAGCCCCAGGGAGAAGAAAGAAGGCAUGGCGCAGGGGAAGCAGAGGGGCUGGAAGUCAUUCAGGGCUGGGAGUAAGCAGUAAGGUUUUACACUCGGGACUCAGCGAAAGGACAGCGUGCUGACUUCUGAGUCAGACUGAUCUGGAUUUGAACCUCAGCUCCAGCUCUUGCCAGCUAUGUGGUCUUCGACGAAUACUUCCACCCCUGUGUGGUGCAGUUUGCUCAUCUGCAAAAUGGGACUAAUCUAAUAUAUAUGAUGGGCUUGGA